Molecule: ribosomal RNA, 501 nt
Filed under: uncultured bacterium
Lineage: Bacteria
Description: partial 16S ribosomal RNA
Rfam family: Bacterial small subunit ribosomal RNA
Source: RNAcentral
AUUGAACGCUGGCGGCAUGCCUUACACAUGCAAGUCGAACGGCAGCACGGGUGCUUGCACCUGGUGGCGAGUGGCGAACGGGUGAGUAAUACAUCGGAACGUACCUUAUCGUGGGGGAUAACGCAGCGAAAGCUGUGCUAAUACCGCGUACGCCCUGAGGGGGAAAGCGGGGGAUCGAAAGACCUCGCGCGAUUAGAGCGGCCGAUGCCUGAUUAGCUUGUUGGUGGGGUAAAAGCCCACCAAGGCGACGAUCAGAAGCUGGUCUGAGAGGACGAGCAGCCACACGGGGCAUGAGACACGGCCCCGACUCCUACGGGAGGCAGCAGUGGGGAAUUUUGGACAAUGGGGGCAACACUGAUCCACCAAUGCCGCGUGAGUGAAGAAGGCCUUCGGGUUGUAAAGCUCUUUUGUCAGGGAAGAAACACCGGCUCUAACACAGUCCGGGAAUGACGGUACCUGAAGAAUAAGCACCGGCUAACUACGUGCCAGCCGCCGCGGUAA